RNAcentral lists this transfer RNA (66 nucleotides) under Rhabdornis inornatus. Its description in RNAcentral is "tRNA-Ser". Lineage: Eukaryota; Metazoa; Chordata; Aves; Passeriformes; Rhabdornithidae. The record is from RNAcentral.
GAGGGGAGGUUUAACCAGCAGGAACUGCUAACUCUUGCAUCUGAGUUUAAAAUCUCAGCCCCCUUA